Molecule: long non-coding RNA, 216 nt
Organism: Sceloporus undulatus (fence lizard)
Lineage: Eukaryota; Metazoa; Chordata; Lepidosauria; Squamata; Phrynosomatidae
Exons: 3
Source: RefSeq, a predicted model, not a curated record
UACCGAUAAGAGAUGUCAACGGAGAAGAAAUGGAAUCAUGGAUGAGAGAUUCCAGUUAGAAAAGAAUGGAUGUAAUAUCUCACAAAGCUUUGAAAGGAGACAAAAUCAAUAACCAGGAAAAUCUGGGGGUUCUAUUUUCCUGAAUGUGAAGGAUGAAAGUGCACAUAUACACGAAUGAAGCAGAGGAAAGGAAACAGAGGAGCAAGAGAGAUAAAC